CCGCCCAAUGCGCCGCCCACACCGGCUUCGGUGGUGCCACCGGCCAUGGCUGCGCCACUGACCAGGCCAAGGGACAACAAGAGAAUCGAGGAGAACUUCAUAGACAGACCUCAAGAGGAUGACGGCGCGAUCCUGAGGCUGUGUCGAGAUUGUGACAAUAGAAAUCCGACCAGUAACACGACUUGUGCACAAUUCGCUAAGUUGUUGUUUUGGUUAGGGAACUUAAGUGAUUUUGGUGGGUCUCUAGUUCCUUCGGAAAGGCCGCUUUUAUGCAAAAGCGGCCUUUUUCAUGCCUGCGAUUUAUGUCGCAAAGCGCUCCCGGCGGUGAGGGACAAACCCGCUCGCCACAGGGAUUAGUCCAUUGUCACUCGCCGCUUCCAGGCGAAUGGCCACG
RNAcentral lists this small RNA (394 nucleotides) under Pseudomonas extremaustralis. Its description in RNAcentral is "Pseudomonas sRNA P34". It matches the Rfam family "Pseudomonas sRNA P34". Lineage: Bacteria; Pseudomonadati; Pseudomonadota; Gammaproteobacteria; Pseudomonadales; Pseudomonadaceae. The record is from RNAcentral.